Molecule: ribosomal RNA, 492 nt
Filed under: uncultured bacterium
Lineage: Bacteria
Description: partial 16S ribosomal RNA
Rfam family: Bacterial small subunit ribosomal RNA
Source: RNAcentral
GACGAACGCUGGCGGCGUGCUUAACACAUGCAAGUGGAGCGACGAACCAGGGCUUGCCCUGGGGCAGAGCCGCGAACGGGUGAGUAACACGUGGGUAACGUGCCCCGAUGACUGGGGCAACCCGGGGAAACCCGGGCUAAUACCGGAUGUGCCCCCUCACAUCAGUGAGGUGUGUAAAGGAAGCUUCGGCCUCCGCAUCGGGAUCGGCCCGCGGCCCAUUAGCUUGUUGGUGAGGUAACGGCUCACCAAGGCUGCGAUGGGUAGCUGGUCUGAGAGGACGAUCAGCCACACUGGGACUGAGACACGGCCCAGACUCCUACGGGAGGCAGCAGUGGGGAAUCUUGCGCAAUGCGCGAAAGCGUGACGCAGCAACGCCGCGUGGGGGAAGACGGCCUUCGGGUUGUAAACCCCUUUCAGUUGGGACGAAGGUCGGGCGGUUAACAGCCGUUCCGGCUGACGGUACCUUCACAAGAAGCCCCGGCUAACUACGUG